This 652-nucleotide ribosomal RNA is filed under the name Salmonella enterica subsp. salamae. Its description in RNAcentral is "partial 23S ribosomal RNA". It matches the Rfam family "Bacterial large subunit ribosomal RNA", at positions 599 to 1251 of the family's 2925-position model. The record is from RNAcentral. Lineage: Bacteria; Pseudomonadati; Pseudomonadota; Gammaproteobacteria; Enterobacterales; Enterobacteriaceae.
GCGUACCUUUUGUAUAAUGGGUCAGCGACUUAUAUUCUGUAGCAAGGUUAACCGAAUAGGGGAGCCGGAGGGAAACCGAGUCUUAAUUGGGCGUUAAGUUGCAGGGUAUAGACCCGAAACCCGGUGAUCUAGCCAUGGGCAGGUUGAAGGUUGGGUAACACUAACUGGAGGACCGAACCGACUAAUGUUGAAAAAUUAGCGGAUGACCUGUGGCUGGGGGUGAAAGGCCAAUCAAACCGGGAGAUAGCUGGUUCUCCCCGAAAGCUAUUUAGGUAGCGCCUCGUGAAUUCAUCUCCGGGGGUAGAGCACUGUUUCGGCUAGGGGGCCAUCCCGGCUUACCAACCCGAUGCAAACUGCGAAUACCGGAGAAUGUUAUCACGGGAGACACACGGCGGGUGCUAACGUCCGUCGUGAAGAGGGAAACAACCCAGACCGCCAGCUAAGGUCCCAAAGUCAUGGUUAAGUGGGAAACGAUGUGGGAAGGCCCAGACAGCCAGGAUGUUGGCUUAGAAGCAGCCAUCAUUUAAAGAAAGCGUAAUAGCUCACUGGUCGAGUCGGCCUGCGCGGAAGAUGUAACGGGGCUAAACCAUGCACCGAAGCUGCGGCAGCGACGCUGAUGCGUUGUUGGGUAGGGGAGCGUUCUGUAAGCCUG